This 403-nucleotide ribosomal RNA is filed under the name uncultured bacterium. RNAcentral's name for it is "partial 16S ribosomal RNA". It matches the Rfam family "Bacterial small subunit ribosomal RNA", at positions 28 to 526 of the family's 1533-position model. The record is from RNAcentral.
GACGAACGCUGGCGGCGUGCCUAAUACAUGCAAGUCGAACGCAGUGGGGACGGGUGAGUAACACGUGGGUAACCUCCCAUCAGAGGGGAUAACACUUGGAAACAGGUGCUAAACCGAUACUGAUGGAUGGACCCGGGGUGCAUUAGCUAGUUGGUGGGGUAACGGCGCACCAAGGCCACGAUGCAUAGCCAGCCUGGAAGGAGGCUCAGCCACACUGGGACGGAGACACGGCCCAGACUCCUACGGGAGGCAGCAGUAGGGAAUCUUCGGCAAUGGACGAAAGUCUGACCGAGCAACGCCGCGUGAGUGAAGAAGGUUUUCGGAGCGUAAAGCUCUGUUGUUAGAGAAGCGGUAUCUAACCAGAAAGCCACGGCUAACUACGUGCCAGCCGCCGCGGUAAUAC